GAUGAACGCUGGCGGCGUGCCUAAUACAUGCAAGUCGAGCGAACAGACGAGGAGCUUGCUCCUUUGACGUUAGCGGCGGACGGGUGAGUAACACGUGGGUAACCUACCUAUAAGACUGGGAUAACUUCGGGAAACCGGAGCUAAUACCGGAUAAUAUUUCGAACCGCAUGGUUCGAUAGUGAAAGAUGGCUUUGCUAUCACUUAUAGAUGGACCUGCGCCGUAUUAGCUAGUUGGUAAGGUAACGGCUUACCAAGGCAACGAUACGUAGCCGACCUGAGAGAGUGAUAGGCCACACUGGAAGGGAGACAGGGUCAAGACUCCUACGGGAGGCAGCAGAAGGGAAUCUGACGCAAUGGGCGAAAGCAUGACGGAGCAACGCCGCGUGAGAGAUAAAGGUGUUCGGAGCGUAAAAAUCUGUUAUUAGGGAAGAACAAACGUGUAAGUAACUGUGCAGGGCGUGACGGUACCUAAUCAAAAAGCCACGGCUAACUACGUG
This 497-nucleotide ribosomal RNA is filed under the name uncultured bacterium. RNAcentral describes it as "partial 16S ribosomal RNA". It matches the Rfam family "Bacterial small subunit ribosomal RNA", at positions 28 to 507 of the family's 1533-position model. The record is from RNAcentral.